GACGAACGCUGGCGGCGUGCUUAGCACAUGCAAGUCGAACGGAAAGGCCCUGCUUUUGUGGGGUGCUCGAGUGGCGAACGGGUGAGUAACACGUGAGUAACCUGCCCUUGACUUUGGGAUAACUUCAGGAAACUGGGGCUAAUACCGGAUAGGAGCUCCUGCUGCAUGGUGGGGGUUGGAAAGUUUCGGCGGUUGGGGAUGGACUCGCGGCUUAUCAGCUUGUUGGUGGGGUAGUGGCUUACCAAGGCUUUGACGGGUAGCCGGCCUGAGGGGGUGACCGGCCACGUGGGGACGGAGAGACGCCCAAGACUCCAGGGGGGGGCAGCGGUGGGAAAUAUUGCGAAGUGGGGGGAGGCCGGAUGCAGCAGCGCCGGGGGGGGGAUGCCGGCCGUGGGGUUGAAACCCGCUUUCGCCUGUGACGAAGGGGGAGGGAGGUAAGGGGAUAAGAAACCCCCGGCAAACAACGGC
Molecule: ribosomal RNA, 468 nt
Filed under: uncultured bacterium
Lineage: Bacteria
Description: partial 16S ribosomal RNA
Rfam family: Bacterial small subunit ribosomal RNA
Source: RNAcentral